GAGUAGGGUUGUGUUAGGAGUAGGGUUAGGAGUAGGGUUAAGGGUAGGGGUAGGCUUGGGCUAGGAGUAGGGUUAGGAGUAGGGUUAGGGUACCUCUACCCCUAACCCUAAACUACCCCUACCCCGAACCCUACCUUAACCCGACCCCUACUCCUAACUCUAACCCUACCCUAACCCUUCUCCUAACCCAACCCUAAGCCUACUCCUAACCCUAACCCUGCUUCUAACCCUACCCUAACCCUACCCUACCCUAAACCUACUCCUAACUCUAUCCCUACCCUAACCC
Molecule: non-coding RNA, 286 nt
Organism: Pelobates cultripes (western spadefoot toad)
Lineage: Eukaryota; Metazoa; Chordata; Amphibia; Anura; Pelobatidae
Source: the annotation of a GenBank genome assembly